Perognathus longimembris pacificus (Pacific pocket mouse) is the source of this 215-nucleotide long non-coding RNA. RefSeq lists it as uncharacterized. The record is from RefSeq and is a predicted model, not a curated record. NCBI's taxonomy places the organism in Eukaryota, Metazoa, Chordata, Mammalia, Rodentia, Heteromyidae. The transcript is spliced from 3 exons.
UACUCAUGCUUUCUAGGUAAGAUCUCAGCUACUAGUCAUCUCAUUAGCAUACAAAAGACAGUCUUUACUCUAAAGACUUGAAAAAUUAAAAGAGCUCUAUGCUAGGAAACCAGACAAAGAUCACAAUAUGCACAACAAUAUUACAGAUGGGUAUUCUCUAGGAGAAGAUGAGAUUGAAUGGAUGGUGGAAGCUAUAGUAUCUGGUCCUUGGGUUU